CAGGUGACUCCCACCUGAGAUGUCAGUGCCCGAAGCAUCCGACAAUAGUAGAUUCAUCAGCAACCUCAGAACAUCAGAGCCUCUCCUAGAACGAUAUGUAAAGGGCCAUUCUGCUCCAUCAGGCAUCCCAGCCGAGCUUCAGCCGAUGGAUCCAAGCUCUCUGGCAAGCCAUGACAAGGGCCACUACCUUACUCCAUUCGCUGCAAC
Molecule: long non-coding RNA, 207 nt
Filed under: Elaeis guineensis (African oil palm)
Lineage: Eukaryota; Viridiplantae; Streptophyta; Magnoliopsida; Arecales; Arecaceae
Description: long non-coding RNA (EGUI_LNC056949)
Source: RNAcentral